Molecule: non-coding RNA, 73 nt
Organism: Podarcis muralis (Common wall lizard)
Lineage: Eukaryota; Metazoa; Chordata; Lepidosauria; Squamata; Lacertidae
Source: the annotation of a RefSeq genome assembly
GCUGCGAUAGCUCAGUUGGUAGAGCGUGAGACUCUUAAUCUCAGGAUCAUGGGUUUGAGCCCCAUGUUGAGCA